RNAcentral lists this transfer RNA (72 nucleotides) under Bos taurus (domestic cattle). It matches the Rfam family "tRNA". From Rfam's summary of the family: Transfer RNA (tRNA) molecules are approximately 80 nucleotides in length. Their secondary structure includes four short double-helical elements and three loops (D, anti-codon, and T loops). Further hydrogen bonds mediate the characteristic L-shaped molecular structure. tRNAs have two regions of fundamental functional importance: the anti-codon, which is responsible for specific mRNA codon recognition, and the 3' end, to which the tRNAs corresponding amino acid is attached (by aminoacyl-tRNA synthetases). tRNAs cope with the degeneracy of the genetic code in two manners: having more than one tRNA (with a specific anti-codon) for a particular amino acid; and 'wobble' base-pairing, i.e. permitting non-standard base-pairing at the 3rd anti-codon position. RNAcentral also lists the same sequence under 2 other names. Lineage: Eukaryota; Metazoa; Chordata; Mammalia; Artiodactyla; Bovidae. The record is from Rfam by way of RNAcentral.
UCCCUUGUAGCUAAUUUGGUAAAGAGUCUGCCUGCAAUGCAGGAGACCCGGGUUCGAUCCCUGGGUUGGGAA